This 1440-nucleotide long non-coding RNA is filed under the name Oreochromis niloticus (Nile tilapia). RNAcentral's name for it is "lncRNA (ENSONIG00000039412.1)". Lineage: Eukaryota; Metazoa; Chordata; Actinopteri; Cichliformes; Cichlidae. The record is from RNAcentral.
CCCCGUUCCCUCGCCAGGCCACGCCACGCCACAUCAAGCUCUACGUUUUAUUGCUUUUUGUCCUUGCCACGUUUCCAGAGUUUAAGCCUAAUAAAAUAUUGAGUUCAAAACCUGAGUUCAGUUCACUACAGACCACUUGGUCACGUGACACUUUUUUCAACAACUUCAAGUUGUGACAACAAAAUCUCUGUCUGACUUUUUUUAGUAAUAUAUUUUUCUUUUGUUUUGUUAUUCUUAGUUUUUUGUUCUUUUUUUCAGCUCCAGUCUGUAAAGCCGAUCUCCUGCAACUCAGAGGGAAUCUACAUUUAACCUGAGCUCACCUGGUCCACCAGCCCUUCAUCCAGCAUCACCAACAACAACACAACAGCCCAUCAGAUUGACCAGCAGCUUUACAGCAUCAGCAGUUCUCUGAUACUUCCAAACAGUGACAUGGAUCUGAAUUACAGCUGUGCAGUCAGCACUGGCAGAAACAGGACGAGAGCAACCUUCAGGCAACAAGGUGAGUUUAACAUCUCAUUCUGAAGAUAAAACAGUUCCUCCUUUUAAAAGCUUCAUUUAGGUUUUGAAAAGUCGUUGAACUAAUUUUUUUUUUUUUUAAUCGUACCUUACUUGUUUUGUAUUUCAUGCAAUCAAAGGAAAUAUUAGUCUCUCCUUCAGAGUUUGGUGAAUCACGUCUGAGGAUAAGUCAUUAGAGAGAGUAGAGAACAGAGAAAUUAAGUCACAUUGUGAUAAGUCACCAUCUUUUAUACCCUAUAAAGGUGAAACUAAAAAUUUUAAAUUAGAAUCAAAUCAAAAAUGUUUUUUCUGUUUUUUCUGUUUUUUCAGGAUUAGUGACUGGGAGCCAGUCUGAAACAACAAUCCACUGUUCCCCCUCACACACCCCUGUAACAAACCUCAUCUGGAGAUUCGACCACAGUCAGAUCAUCCUGACAAAGACUGACAGUCAGUACACAGUCUCAGAGGAGUGGAAGCAGCAUGUAAAGGAUGUGUCAGAGUCAGGCAGCCUCACACUGCAGGACUUCUCCUCAGAUCAGGAGGGAACAUACACGUGUGAACUCGCUGAUGCUGUGGAGACUAAAAUAACUAAUAUCCUCGUGGAGAUCAAUGAAGGGAAUUCAUCUAAUGUUGGAGCAAUCGUAGGAGUGGUCAUUGCAGUCAUUGUAGUUUUAGCCUUAUUAGUAACUCUCCUGGUACUGUGGAAAAAUCAGGUAAAAAGACAUUUUACACACAGUAUUUAAUUCCAUCUUAAUAUUGUGUUUGUUGUUUGUAUUGAUGAUUUUUCAUGGUUUGUAAAACAUUCGUCAGGUUACAAAGAAAAUGUGAGAAAACUUUGAAGAGUGAAACCAGAACAUGAUUAAAUCUUAUGUCUUAAAACACAGAGCAGCUCUCUGUGAACAGUGUGAAAUCUAAAGGUCCAAACUGUUCUCUACAUUCAGUCUA